UAAACAACCUGCCUUCAGGAUGGGGACAACAGACGGAAACGACUGCUAAUACCGAAUAAGUUCCAAGGGCCGCAUGGCCCAUGGAAGAAAAGGUGGCCUCUACCUGUAAGCUAUCGCCUGAAGAGGGGUUUGCGUCUGAUUAGCUGGUUGGAGGGGUAACGGCCCACCAAGGCGACGAUCAGUAGCCGGUCUGAGAGGAUGAACUGCCACACUGGAACUGAGACACGGUCCAG
RNAcentral lists this ribosomal RNA (233 nucleotides) under uncultured bacterium. Its description in RNAcentral is "partial 16S ribosomal RNA". It matches the Rfam family "Bacterial small subunit ribosomal RNA", at positions 118 to 334 of the family's 1533-position model. The record is from RNAcentral.